Molecule: long non-coding RNA, 1719 nt
Organism: Anopheles stephensi (Asian malaria mosquito)
Lineage: Eukaryota; Metazoa; Arthropoda; Insecta; Diptera; Culicidae
Exons: 2
Source: RefSeq, a predicted model, not a curated record
AGGAAGAGUAAGGCUGGUGGCAUUGCUCGGUUGUAUACGACUUUGGUUGUAUACGACCUCGAGAAGCGUGUCAUUGCUCGUCAGAUUUGGUUGCACGACUUUUUUCGGUUUGACAUUUGGAUGUAAACAAACAAAGAAGGCAUAAACACAAAUAAAUCAGGUUCGCGAGUUAUCCGUUUCGACAAAAUAAGCGAGUUCAUCGUUUUUAACGAAAAAAGAAAAUUAAAUAAUGGAUUCUGAUACUGAACAAAAGAUUUUACGGAGUACGAGCCUCGCCUUGCGUUACUUAUUGUUGCAAAAACAAAGGCGGAAUGAAGUCAACAGUAUAUUUAAGGAUCGCAAGCUAAACGGGCAAUACUACGUGUUGUUUCCAAAACUUCAACAAGACGAACAGAAGUUUUUCGAAUAUAUGAGGAUGUCAAAAAGAACAUUUGACUACAUUUUGGGAAAGAUAGAACAUCUCAUCACAAAACAGCCCACACACGUUCCAUACAUUAGUCCAGAGGAGAGAUUAAUGGUGACUCUCAGGUAUGUGGUUUUAAAUCUUAGUUGUAAGGAUUUUUGUAAAUCUAUGGCGGUUUAUAUUAAAGUACUAGUAUCUUUGCUCAUAGUGUUAAAACGUUAUGUUACAAAGGAAAGCGUCAGAGUUCCCAUGACAUACCGAAGGUGAGCCGAACUCACCAACGAUAGAAGUUAAGGAUAGGAUGUAAGGAUAUAAGGAGAUGUUUAAGCUAGGGCAAAAUUUUGAUCGGAUUGAACGAAAGCCGAAGCCACUUUCAUUAAAUACGGAGCUUUCGGCUCCUUGCAAAAUUUAUAAAUAAUGGUACAAAACUUAGAAUCAACUCUCUUUCUACUGCGCUCUACAACCGAAUGGUAAUUGAAUUGAAUUGGUAAAUGAAGGCAUAUUUGGUAGUUUAUUAAUUUUUAAAGUUUAUAGGAACAUAUGAAUUCUGUUAAACGUAAAUAAAAACACUUAAACAAUAACGUAAUGCAAUUCAUGUUAACAAAAAAUCAUUUUUUAUAGAUAACUAUCAUCUAAACAAACUGUAACUAUUACCUUUUCCCUUAUUACCUUACUAUUACCGUAACUAUUAUUAUUUAUUAUCUUAAAUAUCUUAACAAUUAUCCUUAUAAUUACUAAAUUUCUCUUUUAGCACGCGGUGCCCAAAACGCAAAAUUUCGUCGCGUACUUCAAUUUGAUCCUCUAUCUCUAAUUUGUCCAUUAACGUAACCAAACUCAUCAUCGCGUAAUAGUUGCCAGUCUUUUGUUGUUUCGCCAUCUCGUGCCUUUCCUUUUCCAUGAGCAACAGAUUUUCUAGUAACACAGCAUCAGAAGCGCGUUUUGGCCUGCUGCCUGAUGGUUGGCUACUUGAUGUAUGCUUUUCUGCGUCUGCUGCCUUUCCAUAAUCCUGCGGCUGGUUAUAUUGGUUCUCCUCCGUCAUGAGUUCUUCCUCGAGGUUCCUCGAGGCAGCAUGCUUGUUGCAUAAUUUAUGCAUUGAUUUUAGAGAGACUGUUACAACUCCUGGUGAUUCAAAUUCAGGUUCCGUAAAUUGCAAUUCUAACGCAAGAUAUAGGGCGAAUAAUCAUGCCUCUCGUGAGGCAACAGAAAUUAGAGACAGUUUCAAGGACUAUUUUUGUAGUAGACAUGAAUAAUUUCAUAAAUGGUUUGUAAAAUAAAUAGAUUUCACAAUCUUUAGGCAAUUCGACUGCUUUAAUCGA